This 253-nucleotide ribosomal RNA is filed under the name uncultured bacterium. RNAcentral's name for it is "partial 16S ribosomal RNA". It matches the Rfam family "Bacterial small subunit ribosomal RNA", at positions 524 to 776 of the family's 1533-position model. The record is from RNAcentral.
UACGUAGGGUGCAAGCGUUAAUCGGAAUUACUGGGCGUAAAGCGUGCGCAGGCGGUUUUGUAAGUCUGUCGUGAAAGCCCCGGGCUUAACCUGGGAAUGGCCGUUGAAACUGGCGAACUGGAGUGUGGCAGAGGGGGGUGGAAUUCCGCGUGUAGCAGUGAAAUGCGUAGAGAUGCGGAGGAACACCGAUGGCGAAGGCAGCCCCCUGGGCUGACACUGACGCUCAGGCACGAAAGCGUGGGGAGCAAACAGG